CUUGAACAUUUUUGUAAAUAGCAGUGAAAUAAAAACGUUGACAUUUCUGGAUCAUCCAAGAACUUAAAUUAUUUUCACAAAAAUAAAGAAAUGUACAAUUAUUUUUUCCCAAAGCCAUUCUACAACGAUUUUCAAGUUUUCAUACAACAUUUUGGAAGCAAACUUUACAAACAACUGACAUUGGCAAUUUUGUAAUAUGUCUUAUUUCACACAUUUUGAUUGGUCUAACUGUAUGCUAUUUUGUGAUACUAAAGAUUUCCUCCCGCCCAGACCAUUGGUGUCAAAAAGUAUUUUUAGCCAAAAAAGUCAUAUACGACAUUUUAGAAGCCCAGCGACGUUAUAUU
Molecule: long non-coding RNA, 344 nt
Filed under: Mytilus galloprovincialis (Mediterranean mussel)
Lineage: Eukaryota; Metazoa; Mollusca; Bivalvia; Mytilida; Mytilidae
Source: RNAcentral